RNAcentral lists this ribosomal RNA (491 nucleotides) under uncultured bacterium. RNAcentral's name for it is "partial 16S ribosomal RNA". It matches the Rfam family "Bacterial small subunit ribosomal RNA", at positions 29 to 506 of the family's 1533-position model. The record is from RNAcentral.
AGUGAACGCUGGCGGUAGGCCUAACACGUGCAAGUCGAACGGCAGCACAGUAAGAGCUUGCUCUUACGGGUGGCGAGUGGCGGACGGGUGAGGAAUACAUCGGAAUCUACUUUUUCGUGGGGGAUAACGUAGGGAAACUUACGCUAAUACCGCAUACGACCUACGGGUGGAAGCAGGGGAUCUUCGGACCUUGCGCGAUUGAAUGAGCCGAUGUCGGAUUAGCUAGUUGGCGGGGUAAAGGCCCACCAAGGCGACGAUCCGUAGCUGGUCUGAGAGGAUGAUCAGCCACACUGGAACUGAGACACGGUCCAGACUCCUACGGGAGGCAGCAGUGGGGAAUAUUGGACAAUGGGCGCAAGCCUGAUCCAGCCAUACCGCGUGGGUGAAGAAGGCCUUCGGGUUGUAAAGCCCUUUUGUUGGGAAAGAAAAGCAGCAGGUUAAUACCCCGCUGUUCUGACGGUACCCAAAGAAUAAGCACCGGCUAACUUCGU